Herpailurus yagouaroundi (jaguarundi) is the source of this 3100-nucleotide long non-coding RNA. RefSeq lists it as uncharacterized. NCBI's taxonomy places the organism in Eukaryota, Metazoa, Chordata, Mammalia, Carnivora, Felidae. The transcript has 3 exons. The record is from RefSeq and is a predicted model, not a curated record.
AGAGCCUGAUGUGGGGCUUGAACUCAGGAACCGUGAGAUCAUGACCUGAGCCAAAGUCAGACACUUAACCGACUGAGCCACCCUGCCACUUACUCAUUUUAAAGUGUCUACCAGAGAGAUAGGAAUUCAGGGGUUUUAUCUGGGGAUGGAAGUGUUAGUGGAUAAUAUUUUUGCAAUCUCAUCUUAACUUUCUGGUGAUAGAGCAGACGGACAUUGUUCUUGGUGCUCUCCCUCUACUCAGGUACCAUUGGAGGGAAUGCUCUGUCCACCCUGGGCUGUAACUAGGCUAUGCAGGCACCCCACACUCUGCUCACCCCAUUAGCACCUAAGGUGCAAUAGUGCCAGGCAAGCAUUCUCACCCCCACCCUCCAUGUGCAGUAUUCCAGCCAAAACUGGGCCAGACUAAAGCCAUUAGCCUUGUUCACCCCAAGUAGAGACUGAGUUGUAACUGGGGUGAUCUAGCAGCUUGAACUCUGCUCACCCUACACAGUGACUGAGCCACCCCCAAGUCAAGUGAGUGUUUCCAACACUGACGUCCCUGUGCAGCAGCCACAGCCCUAUCAGUGGAAAGCCAGUGGACACAUGCAGCCUAUGUAAAUGAUGCCUAUAAGAGUGACUAGCUCUGAUCGCCAGAUGGCUAUUACAUCUCUGAUCCACAUGGGACAGUUUAUACACAUGACCAGUCAUCAGACUGAGAUAGCCAUUUCCCUUAACAUAUAGAAAAACAGAUAUGGCAAAAUGAAGGCAAAAUGAAGAAACAGGAACAUGUUUCAAACCAAAAACAAGGUAAAUUCCUGGAGAAAAGACAUUAAUGAUAUGGAGAUUAGCAACCUACCAGAUUAAUAAUUCAGAGCAGUGGUGAUAAAGGUGCUCACUGUUCUCUGGAGAAGAAUUGACAAAUACAGUGAGAACUUCAACAACAAGAUAGAAAAUGUUAGUACCAAACAAUUUAUAACUUAACUGAAAAAUACACUAGACAGGUCCAGCUGCAGAAUGGUUGAAAGAGAAGUAUAGACCAGCAAGCUAGAAGGCAAAGCAAUGCAAAACAGCAGCCAAAGCAGCAAAAUGAAAAAAAAAUUAAAAGAAGUGAAAAUACCCUAUGGGACAUCUCUAAAAACAUCAUGCAGAGUAACAUUUUCAUUAUAGGGGUCCCAGAAGGAGAAGAGAGGGAAAGAGUCAGAAAAAUUAUUUGAAGAAAUUAUGCCUGAGAACUUCUUUAAUCUGGGGAAGGAAAGAGACAUCUAGGUCCAGGAAUCCCAGAGAGUAACAAGAUGAACACACUGAGAAACAUAAUUAAAAUGGUGAAAACUAAAGAUAAAGAGAAAACCGUAAAACCAGCAAGAGAAAAGCAACACAUUAUAAUAAAGGAAACCCUGUAAGACCAUAAGGAGAUUUUUCACUAGAAACUUUACAGGCCAGAAGGGACUAGUUUUGACAUAUCCAAAGUGCUGAAAGGGAAAAAUUGCCAACCAAGAAUGUUUUUAACUCUGUAAGGUUAUCACUUACAAUUGAAAGAUAGAGUAAGACCUUUCCAAAUAUGCAAAAGCCAAAGGAUUUCAUCACUACUAACCUGGUCUUACAAGAAAUGUUAAAGAAACUUCUCUGAGGUAAAAAGAGAAGGCACUAAUUACUAAUAAAAUAUACAAAAGUAAGAAUCUCUCCAGAAAAAGUAAAUAAAUAAUAAUGGUUGUGGAUCAAACACAAAGUAAGUGCAAAGGUUAAAAGACAAAGUAGUAAAAUUAAUUAAAGAUACAUUAACUAGUUAAGGGAUACCUAAAAUAAAAAGAUGUAAAAUGUGUCAACAGAAAUUUUAAAUGCUGGUAGUAAAGUAUAAAGCUCUGGAAUGUGCUCAACAUUAAUUUACUCUCAAAAGUGACUUGCAUACAUAAGCUAUUAUAUGGAAGGAGUGCCUGGGUGGCUCAGUAGGUUAAACUUUGGACUCCUGAUUUCAGCUCAGGUCAUGAUCUCAUGCUCGUGAGAUUGAGCCCUGCAUUGGGCUCCAUGCUGGGUGUGGAGCCUGCUUAAGAUUCUUUCUAUCUCUCCUUCUUACUCUACCCCUGUGCCUUCCCCUCUGUAAAAAAAAAAAAAAAAAAAAAAGAUAUGGGAAUCUCAUGGUAAACACAAAGAAAAAAACUUAAAGAUACACAAAUGAAAAAAGAGAAUGUAAAUAUUAACACUAAUGAAAGUGAUCAAUUUAACAAUUCUCAAAGAGAAGAAAGGAACAGAGAGGAACUGCAAAAUCAGAAAACAAUUAGCAUAAUGGCAAUAAGCACAUACUUGUUACUAAUUACUUUAUAUGUAAAUGGACUAAAUUUUCCAUUCAAAAGACAUAGUGUGGCUGAACAGAUAAAAGCACAUGACUCUUCUGAGUGCUGCUUAUAAGAAACUCACUUCUCUAAAGAUAUACAGACUGAAAGUGAAAGGAUGAAAAACAUAUGCCAUGCAAACUGAUAUGAAAAAAUGUUAGUGUAGUAGUACUCUAAUAUCAAAACUAAGCCACAAAACAAGUCUCCAUACAAUUAAGAUUUUAAUCAUAACAAACACCUUUUCUGGCCACAAUGGUAUGAAACUAGAAAUCAAUUACAUGAAGAAAACUGGGAAAAACACAAACAUGUGGCAACAAAACAGCAUGCUACUAAACAACCAGAGGGUCACUGAAAAAUUCAAAGACCAAAUAAAAAAAUACCUUGAGACAAAUGAAAUGGAAACUCAGCAUUCCAAAAUAUUUGGAACAAAGCAAAAAUAGUUCUAAGAGGGAUGUUCUUGGUAAUACAGGUCUACCUCAUUAAAAAAGAGAAAUUUCAAACAUUCUGCAUUUAAAGGAACUAGAUAAGAACAACAUCCAAAGUUAAUGGAAAGAAAUAAUAAAGAGCUGAAAUAAAUCAGAGACUUUAAAAAAAUAGAAAAGAUCAAUGACCUUAAGAGCAUGUUCUUUGAAAAAUUAAACAAAAAUCAACAAACUUUAGCCAGACUCAUCAAGAAAAAAAAAAAAGAGCCCAAAUAGGCAAAAUUAGAAAUGGGAGAAAUUACAACCUAUGCCACAGAUAUACAAAGGAUGACAAGAGAAUAUUAUAAACAAUAGGCAAAAUAUGACAAGAGA